RNAcentral lists this unclassified non-coding RNA (216 nucleotides) under uncultured Frankiales bacterium. RNAcentral's name for it is "contains 16S-23S intergenic spacer region". Lineage: Bacteria; Bacillati; Actinomycetota; Actinomycetes; Frankiales. The record is from RNAcentral.
UCCGAGUUGACCCCGGCAGUCUCCCAUGAGUCCCCGGCAUUACCCGCUGGCAACAUGGGACGAGGGUUGCGCUCGUUGCGGGACUUAACCCAACAUCUCACGACACGAGCUGACGACAACCAUGGACCACCUGUACGCAGCCCUUGCGGACCCGACAUCUCUGCCGGAUUUCUGCGUAUGUCAAGCCUUGGUAAGGUGGGGAUGACGUGAGGAUAG